This is a long non-coding RNA of Bactrocera neohumeralis, 683 nucleotides long. RefSeq lists it as uncharacterized. The transcript is spliced from 4 exons. The record is from RefSeq and is a predicted model, not a curated record. NCBI's taxonomy places the organism in Eukaryota, Metazoa, Arthropoda, Insecta, Diptera, Tephritidae.
AACUAGUAAGGACCGAGUGCGAUAUCAUUACAAUCGGUGCAGUAUAGGGAAAUUACUAAUAAAUGAGAAAAAUAACAAAAGAGAGGCGUUAAACAACAAAUCAACUACAUACUCACAACUAAUCAAUUUUUACGCAAGUAUGAGCUCACCUUUGUUUGUUAAUAUUGUCGCUUGCUCUUCUCAGCAUACAAAUAUUCCUUGUAAUAAAGAGCACAGGCUGCCGUUAUUCAUGUCAAUUGAAGGCAAACAACUAUUGGAGCGAAGUAAAAAAUCAGUGUGCUUGGUGCAGUAAGAGAAAAUUUGUUAUUAAAUCGGGAAAACUAUUGAAGAAAAUAUAAAAUAUUAAAUCAGGCAAGUGAAAAAGAAAAUAAAAAAGUGUGUUGUGACAAAUAUAUUUAAAAUUAUUUAAGUGGAGUUAAUGUGAAAAUGUUUUAAAAGUAUGUAGAUAAAUAAAAUUUUUUGAUGUGUGAAUGUGGAUGUAAGCAAAUAAAACUUGAAUGUGUAAAGUUGUAUUAAAACUGACACGUAAAAUAUAUUUGGAAAUUUAAGUGUAAUUUCCUUGCUUGGUUAAACAUUUUAGGUUGAGAAAAGAAACUUCCCUGCUUGACUAAUCACUUGCAGUUGAAAGAAGACACCUAAAGAGGAGGCAUUUUAACGCUCAACUAAAAAUUACAGUUAAAAGG